ACGACCUUACUUGAACAGGAUCUGUUCUAUAGGCUCGUACCGUUGCAUCCUUGACUGAUAAGGAGGCAAGCACUCAUGCUUGGUUGAUGACGCAUGACCUGUGGGCCAGAGCGUGAUUGACGGCCCGGAUCAUUUCCGUGUGAAUUGAUCCCACGGCUGUAGAGGAUCGUUCCUUUCCGGGCUUCGCUUGGUCAGGGUUGGCCCAUAGGUUGUCUGACAGGCA
Non-coding RNA from Oryza nivara, 223 nucleotides. The record is from Rfam. NCBI's taxonomy places the organism in Eukaryota, Viridiplantae, Streptophyta, Magnoliopsida, Poales, Poaceae.